ACGUAGGGGGCUAGCGUUAUCCGGAUUUACUGGGCGUAAAGGGUGCGUAGGCGGUCCUUCAAGUCAGGAGUCAAAGGCUACGGCUCAACCGUAGUAAGCUCCUGAUACUGUGGGACUUGAGUGCAGGAGAGGAAAGCGGAAUUCCUAGUGUAGCGGUGAAAUGCGUAGAUAUUAGGAGGAACACCAGUAGCGAAGGCGGCUUUCUGGACUGUAACUGACGCUGAGGCACGAAAGCGUGGGGAGCAAACAGG
This 251-nucleotide ribosomal RNA is filed under the name uncultured bacterium. RNAcentral's name for it is "partial 16S ribosomal RNA". It matches the Rfam family "Bacterial small subunit ribosomal RNA", at positions 525 to 776 of the family's 1533-position model. The record is from RNAcentral.